UGGGGAAUAUUGGACAAUGGGCGAAAGCCUGAUCCAGCCAUGCCGCGUGUGUGAAGAAGGUCUUCGGAUUGUAAAGCACUUUAAGUUGGGAGGAAGGGCAGUAAGCGAAUACCUUGCUGUUUUGACGUUACCGACAGAAUAAGCACCGGCUAACUCUGUGCCAGCAGCCGCGGUAAUACAGAGGGUGCAAGCGUUAAUCGGAAUUACUGGGCGUAAAGCGUGCGUAGGCGGCUAAUUGAGUCGGAUGUGAAAUCCCCGAGGUUAACUUGGGGAUUGCUUUCGAUACUGGUUAGCUAGAGGGUGGGAGACGGUGGUAGAAUUCCAGGUGUAGCGGUGAAAUGCGUAGAGGUCUGGAGGAAUACCGAUGGCGAAGGCAGCCAUCUGGACUAACACUGACGCUGAGGUACGAAAGCAUGGGGAGCAAACAGG
Molecule: ribosomal RNA, 429 nt
Filed under: Pseudomonadota bacterium
Lineage: Bacteria; Pseudomonadati; Pseudomonadota
Description: Proteobacteria bacterium partial 16S ribosomal RNA
Rfam family: Bacterial small subunit ribosomal RNA
Source: RNAcentral